This 2858-nucleotide ribosomal RNA is filed under the name Klebsiella pneumoniae. RNAcentral describes it as "bacterial LSU rRNA". It matches the Rfam family "Bacterial large subunit ribosomal RNA". Lineage: Bacteria; Pseudomonadati; Pseudomonadota; Gammaproteobacteria; Enterobacterales; Enterobacteriaceae. The record is from RNAcentral.
UUAAGCGACUAAGCGUACACGGUGGAUGCCCUGGCAGUCAGAGGCGAUGAAGGACGUGCUAAUCUGCGAAAAGCGUCGGUAAGGUGAUAUGAACCGUUANCACUAUCGUUAACUGAAUACAUAGGUUAACGAGGCGAACCGGGGGAACUGAAACAUCUAAGUACCCCGAGGAAAAGAAAUCAACCGAGAUUCCCCCAGUAGCGGCGAGCGAACGGGGAGCAGCCCAGAGUCUGAAUCAGCUUGUGUGUUAGUGGAACGGUCUGGAAAGUCCGACGGUACAGGGUGAUAGUCCCGUACACCAAAAUGCACAGGCUGUGAACUCGAAGAGUAGGGCGGGACACGUGGUAUCCUGUCUGAAUAUGGGGGGACCAUCCUCCAAGGCUAAAUACUCCUGACUGACCGAUAGUGAACCAGUACCGUGAGGGAAAGGCGAAAAGAACCCCGGCGAGGGGAGUGAAAAAGAACCUGAAACCGUGUACGUACAAGCAGUGGGAGCACCUUCGGGUGUGACUGCGUACCUUUUGUAUAAUGGGUCAGCGACUUAUAUUCUGUAGCAAGGUUAACCGUAUAGGGGAGCCGCAGGGAAACCGAGUCUUAACUGGGCGUUAAGUUGCAGGGUAUAGACCCGAAACCCGGUGAUCUAGCCAUGGGCAGGUUGAAGGUUGGGUAACACUAACUGGAGGACCGAACCGACUAAUGUUGAAAAAUUAGCGGAUGACUUGUGGCUGGGGGUGAAAGGCCAAUCAAACCGGGAGAUAGCUGGUUCUCCCCGAAAGCUAUUUAGGUAGCGCCUCGUGAAUUCAUCUUCGGGGGUAGAGCACUGUUUCGGCUAGGGGGUCAUCCCGACUUACCAACCCGAUGCAAACUACGAAUACCGAAGAAUGUUAUCACGGGAGACACACGGCGGGUGCUAACGUCCGUCGUGAAGAGGGAAACAACCCAGACCGCCAGCUAAGGUCCCAAAGUCAUGGUUAAGUGGGAAACGAUGUGGGAAGGCACAGACAGCCAGGAUGUUGGCUUAGAAGCAGCCAUCAUUUAAAGAAAGCGUAAUAGCUCACUGGUCGAGUCGGCCUGCGCGGAAGAUGUAACGGGGCUAAACCAUGCACCGAAGCUGCGGCAGCGACACUAUGUGUUGUUGGGUAGGGGAGCGUUCUGUAAGCCUGCGAAGGUGACCUGUGAGGGUUGCUGGAGGUAUCAGAAGUGCGAAUGCUGACAUAAGUAACGAUAAAGCGGGUGAAAAGCCCGCUCGCCGGAAGACCAAGGGUUCCUGUCCAACGUUAAUCGGGGCAGGGUGAGUCGACCCCUAAGGCGAGGCCGAAAGGCGUAGUCGAUGGGAAACAGGUUAAUAUUCCUGUACUUGGUGUUACUGCGAAGGGGGGACGGAGAAGGCUAUGUUAGCCGGGCGACGGUUGUCCCGGUUUAAGCAUGUAGGCUGGUUGUCCAGGCAAAUCCGGAUAAUCAAGGCUGAGGUGUGAUGACGAGGCACUACGGUGCUGAAGUAACAAAUGCCCUGCUUCCAGGAAAAGCCUCUAAGCAUCAGGUAACAUCAAAUCGUACCCCAAACCGACACAGGUGGUCAGGUAGAGAAUACCAAGGCGCUUGAGAGAACUCGGGUGAAGGAACUAGGCAAAAUGGUGCCGUAACUUCGGGAGAAGGCACGCUGGUGUGUAGGUGAAGUCCCUGCGGAUGGAGCUGAGACCAGUCGAAGAUACCAGCUGGCUGCAACUGUUUAUUAAAAACACAGCACUGUGCAAACACGAAAGUGGACGUAUACGGUGUGACGCCUGCCCGGUGCCGGAAGGUUAAUUGAUGGGGUUAUCCGUAAGGAGAAGCUCUUGAUCGAAGCCCCGGUAAACGGCGGCCGUAACUAUAACGGUCCUAAGGUAGCGAAAUUCCUUGUCGGGUAAGUUCCGACCUGCACGAAUGGCGUAAUGAUGGCCAGGCUGUCUCCACCCGAGACUCAGUGAAAUUGAACUCGCUGUGAAGAUGCAGUGUACCCGCGGCAAGACGGAAAGACCCCGUGAACCUUUACUAUAGCUUGACACUGAACAUUGAGCCUUGAUGUGUAGGAUAGGUGGGAGGCUUUGAAGCGUGGACGCCAGUCUGCGUGGAGCCAACCUUGAAAUACCACCCUUUAAUGUUUGAUGUUCUAACGUUGGCCCCUUACCGGGGUUGCGGACAGUGUCUGGUGGGUAGUUUGACUGGGGCGGUCUCCUCCCAAAGCGUAACGGAGGAGCACGAAGGUUAGCUAAUCCUGGUCGGACAUCAGGAGGUUAGUGCAAUGGCAUAAGCUAGCUUGACUGCGAGCGUGACGGCGCGAGCAGGUGCGAAAGCAGGUCAUAGUGAUCCGGUGGUUCUGAAUGGAAGGGCCAUCGCUCAACGGAUAAAAGGUACUCCGGGGAUAACAGGCUGAUACCGCCCAAGAGUUCAUAUCGACGGCGGUGUUUGGCACCUCGAUGUCGGCUCAUCACAUCCUGGGGCUGAAGUAGGUCCCAAGGGUAUGGCUGUUCGCCAUUUAAAGUGGUACGCGAGCUGGGUUUAGAACGUCGUGAGACAGUUCGGUCCCUAUCUGCCGUGGGCGCUGGAGAAUUGAGGGGGGCUGCUCCUAGUACGAGAGGACCGGAGUGGACGCAUCACUGGUGUUCGGGUUGUCAUGCCAAUGGCACUGCCCGGUAGCUAAAUGCGGAAGAGAUAAGUGCUGAAAGCAUCUAAGCACGAAACUUGCCCCGAGAUGAGUUCUCCCUGAGACUUUAAGUCUCCUGAAGGAACGUUAAAGACGAUGACGUUGAUAGGCCGGGUGUGUAAGCGCAGCGAUGCGUUGAGCUAACCGGUACUAAUGAACCGUGAGGCUUAACCUU